Molecule: non-coding RNA, 222 nt
Organism: Cinara cedri
Lineage: Eukaryota; Metazoa; Arthropoda; Insecta; Hemiptera; Aphididae
Source: the annotation of a GenBank genome assembly
AAUAGGUACUAUUAUACUACAUUUUAUAAUAAUAUGGCUAUACAUCUAAAGGAAUCUUGUAUUUACCUACAUUUUAAAUAUUAUUACCAAAUAAUAAUACCUAUAGGAUUGGCAUAUGGUCAUAUGCUUAUAUAUAUUUCUCCUUCGCCUUCAUCCCAUUCAUCUUGGGCAGUAAACAGAAAAAUGUAACAGGGAUGAGAAUGCUUUGCUGGAUGAAAGGAG